AACGCUGAGGACUCUGCACGGACUGCCGGCGCAAGCCGCGAGGAAGGCGGGGAUGACGUCAAAUCAGCACGGCCCUUACGUCCGGGGCGACACACGUGUUACAAUGGGUGGUACAGCGGGAAGCCAGGCGGCGACGCCGAGCGGAACCCGAAAUCCACUCUCAGUUCGGAUCGGAGUCUGCAACCCGACUCCGUGAAGCUGGAUUCGCUAGUAAUCGCGCAUCAGCCAUGGCGCGGUGAAUACGUUCCCGGGCCUUGUACACACCGCCCGUCAAGCCAUGGGAGCCGAGGGCGCUUGAAGUGCGUCGCCGCGAGGCGCGCCCUAGAGCGAAAUCGGUGACUGGGGCUAAGUCGUAACAAGGUAGCCGUACCGGAAGGUGCGGCUGGAACACCUCCUUUCUGGA
RNAcentral lists this ribosomal RNA (403 nucleotides) under Bacteroidales bacterium. Its description in RNAcentral is "bacterial SSU rRNA". It matches the Rfam family "Bacterial small subunit ribosomal RNA", at positions 1127 to 1533 of the family's 1533-position model. Lineage: Bacteria; Pseudomonadati; Bacteroidota; Bacteroidia; Bacteroidales. The record is from RNAcentral.